UGAUCAUACUCGGGGCACUACUCCCCAUCUACUGUGCCAUCCCAAGCCAGAAGUUGUCAAAUGUCAGCGAGGAGCUGCAUUUCUAUCAUAACUUUUACUGCUCUGUAAAUGUACUGUCAGUUCUGCAAACAUUUUGUUUUAAUACUGAAAGAAGAAUAAGAUGUGAAAAGCAUUAUAUGCUGAACUCAGUAGAGUUGCACAAAAGAUCAUCUGGGUCUGGAUAGACUGAUGGACAGUUGUCCACAGAGGGACAAAAGAGUAAACUAUCUUUUACUAUCUAUGCUGUGUGAAGGGAAAUGCUUCUGUAAACAUGUGAAGUUUGGAUCUGGAAGUCUUCCUUCUAAAUCAAUCUUGUGAUACCUUUCUAAGGAAAUCAAGUGUAAGGUUAAUACAACUAUUUUAACAAGUCCUCCAUUUUUGCAUCAGGAUAUUAAAUCAAAUAUUUUAGCCACAUGCCUGUAAAAUGUACUUGAGAAGAUGUUUUAUUUUCCCUUUGCAAGCCUCUUGACCAUGCCAUGAGCAGUGUUUUGC
Caretta caretta (loggerhead turtle) is the source of this 531-nucleotide long non-coding RNA. RefSeq lists it as uncharacterized. The record is from RefSeq and is a predicted model, not a curated record. Lineage: Eukaryota; Metazoa; Chordata; Testudines; Cheloniidae.